This 718-nucleotide long non-coding RNA is filed under the name Brassica rapa (field mustard). Its description in RNAcentral is "long non-coding RNA (BRAP_LNC004459)". The record is from RNAcentral. Lineage: Eukaryota; Viridiplantae; Streptophyta; Magnoliopsida; Brassicales; Brassicaceae.
UGCUAUUGGCGGUUUCUAUUGCUUAUCCAUACUUUUCAACACUGUUUUCUUUGGUCGUCCGUCGUCACAUAUGAUGACAAUUGACAAAUUAUAUAGAAUUUCAGAAGAUAUCAAAAUUACACAAGAAAACAAGCCCUUCAAUGGUAUCAGUAACUUGGAGAUGAUGAAACUAAUUCAAUAUUAAAAAGGAAAAAAUGUCAUUCAAUUAAUUUCCGUAAGAAACUAUGUGAACUGGUCUUUGGUAAGUGUGUCAUCUGCAGAUUAAAUUGAGUCAAUGUUAAACAGCUCUGACUAUUUGUUUUCUGGAAUUUUUGUCAAACUUAAAGGCAAAAUUAUGGAACUAUGAACAAAAACAAAAUAUUUCUUAGUUUUCUGAUUUUUUUGGAUUUUUUUUAUUUUUAUAAUAUUUUUUGUACAGUGGUUCAUGUUGGGGUUUCUUUGAAAAAUAAAUUUCAUAUUUUGUUUUACUGAUGUACUAAAAAUACAUUUAACCAAAAAAAACCAUGGAAAAAUUAAUUAGACUUAAUGUUUUUGUUGGCAGUUUUAUCAAUAAUAUUUUUUAAUCAAGUGGUGUCUGGCCUUCGGUCCACAUAAUCUUUCUCCAUUUAUGGCAUUAAAGAUUUCUUUCCACCGUGAAUCGAACCUAGAAGCACAACAGAGUUUUAUUAAUAGUUGUUCCUCAAGAUAUAAAACUUUAUGCAUCAAAGCAUCUCUAAAA